GCUGGUUUCUGGGACCAGGACUUGAGAAGGCUGAUGUCGGGAAGGGGGCGAAGGAUGGGGAGAAUCGCGGGGAAAGAGCUAGGUCUCCACUCCCAUAUCGAGAUUAAGAUUCCGUGGAAUCCGAGUAACAUUUGAAUUCCCGCUAGCUGCGUGCACGCGGAAGAGGGCGAAAUUUAUGAAAACAUAACUCAGGCCCCAAGGGUGAGAAGAGCCUCCGCGGCCACACUUACCUGCUUCAAGUUCCUGCGGGUGUUCAGCUGGCCGGCGGAAGAGCUGAGACCGCGCCGCCGAGAGUUGCUGGCUGGCCAGUCAUACAGGGGACGUGGAACUUCUCCUCUCAGAACCCAGAACAAAGAGUCAUACAGUUGGUCUUCAAGCAACCUGCCGAAAUAAACGCCGUGAUUUCCAUUUUCUAGAGGGAGAAAGGGAAGAAGUGGAGUUCUGUGAGGUCUCAGGAAAGGCCAGGCAGGAGCAAGGAUGCACCUUCACUUAGCAGAUGUCCCUGGAGCGCUGGUUAGGCCAGCCCCACGCUAGGCACCAAGGACCCAGGAUCUCACUAAGCAGAAGAGGGGCCAGUUAAUAACCAAGGAGCCAGAACCUCAUUGCAAGUAUGAGAAGAGCUGGAGAGAGAAGGAGGACAGAGAUGAGAACCCUGGAGACCCGGGGACACCACCUCAGGUCCUGGGAGAUCACCUAAGUUCUGAGUGGCACAAAUAAGGGGAAAUGUUGGGAAGAGUACUCUGCUUGGAAGGAAUGGCUGGUGCAAAGGUCUGGAGGCAAAGACUGGCCUGGGGUACGUGAGGAUCUCCAGGAAGGUGACUUAGGGUCGGCGGGAUGGGCCAGUGGGUAGAGGCACUUGACGCAAGCCUGAUGGCCUGAGUUUGAUCCUCGAGGUCCCCACGGCGGAAGGAGAAGACAGACUCCUGCCCGGUGUCCUUUGACGCCCGUGUGCACCUCGUGGCACAUGUGUGCUCUGGUCCUCCUCCAAUAACUAAGUCAAGAAAUUCAAUAACGAAA
Molecule: non-coding RNA, 1017 nt
Organism: Peromyscus maniculatus bairdii (prairie deer mouse)
Lineage: Eukaryota; Metazoa; Chordata; Mammalia; Rodentia; Cricetidae
Source: RefSeq, a predicted model, not a curated record